Molecule: transfer RNA, 83 nt
Filed under: archaeon
Lineage: Archaea
Also listed under: 1 other name
Description: tRNA-Ser
Rfam family: tRNA
About the family: Transfer RNA (tRNA) molecules are approximately 80 nucleotides in length. Their secondary structure includes four short double-helical elements and three loops (D, anti-codon, and T loops).
Source: RNAcentral
GCUGAGGUGCUGGAGUGGUUUAACAGAAUGGGUUGCUAACCCAUGCCUUUCGGGGCUCGCAGGUUCGAAUCCUGUUCUCAGCG